RNAcentral lists this ribosomal RNA (495 nucleotides) under uncultured bacterium. RNAcentral describes it as "partial 16S ribosomal RNA". It matches the Rfam family "Bacterial small subunit ribosomal RNA", at positions 28 to 507 of the family's 1533-position model. The record is from RNAcentral.
GACGAACGCUGGCGGCGUGCCUAAUACAUGCAAGUCGAACGCUGAAGGAGGAGCUUGCUCUUCUGGAUGAGUUGCGAACGGGUGAGUAACGCGUAGGUAACCUGCCUGGUAGCGGGGGAUAACUAUUGGAAACGAUAGCUAAUACCGCAUAACAGUAGAUGUUGCAUGACAUUUGCUUAAAAGGUGCAAUUGCACCACUACCAGAUGGACCUGCGUUGUAUUAGCUAGUUGGUGGGGUAACGGCUCACCAAGGCGACGAUACAUAGCCGACCUGAGAGGGGGAUCGGCCACACUGGGACUGAGACACGGCCCAGACUCCUACGGGAGGCAGCAGUAGGGAAUCUUCGGCAAUGGACGGAAGUCUGACCGAGCAACGCCGCGUGAGUGAAGAAGGUUUUCGGAUCGUAAAGCUCUGUUGUAAGAGAAGAACGAGUGUGAGAGUGGAAAGUUCACACUGUGACGGUAGCUUACCAGAAAGGGACGGCUAACUACGUG